UACACGCUGUGACUAGCAUAUCAAUAAGCGGAGGAAAAGAAACUAACAAGGAUUCCCCUAGUAACGGCGAGUGAAGCGGGAAGAGCUCAAAUUUGAAAUCUUAAAGGGUUUCCCUUUACGAAUUGUAGUUUAAAGAAGUGUUUUCUGUUGAGGUUUUGGUAAAAGUUCUUUGGAAUAGGACAUCAUAGAGGGUGAGAAUCCCGUAUUUGACCUUUACUUUCAACUUUGUGAUACACUUUCAAAGAGUCGGAUUGUUUGGGAAUGCAGUCCAAAAUGGGUGGUAAAUUUCAUCUAAAGCUAAAUAUUGGCGAGAGACCGAUAGCGAACAAGUACCGUGAGGGAAAGAUGAAAAGAACUUUGAAAAGAGAGUUAAACAGUACGUGAAAUUGUCAAAAGGGAAGCGUUUGACACCAGUGUUGCUUUUUCUGAAAAUCAAUUAAAGAACUGUUUAUGCUAAGCUGUUUAGACUUUAUCAGCUAUCUGUUUAGUUUUGAGCUUUUCUUUAAUGCACUUUUCAGUUAACAAGUCAACAUCAAUUUCUUUUGCUGUAAAAAAGCUUGAGGAAGGUGGCUUGAGAUUCGUCUUAAGUGUUUAUAGCCUCUUGCCUAUGCAGUCGGAGAGAUUGAGGUCUGCAGCGUAGAUCCUUCGGGGCUAAAUGCAUUUGUGCUAAGUUAUAGCAUUUUAUAGACAACUUGUUGACUAUGAUUUGUCUUGUAGCUUACUCGCUUAUGUUAUUUUACCUACGCUUAGGAUGUUGAAGAUGUAGCACAUCAU
Molecule: ribosomal RNA, 774 nt
Filed under: uncultured Neocallimastigales
Lineage: Eukaryota; Fungi; Neocallimastigomycota; Neocallimastigomycetes; Neocallimastigales
Description: partial large subunit ribosomal RNA
Rfam family: Eukaryotic large subunit ribosomal RNA
Source: RNAcentral